Long non-coding RNA from Felis catus (domestic cat), 1320 nucleotides. RefSeq lists it as uncharacterized. The transcript is spliced from 2 exons. The record is from RefSeq and is a predicted model, not a curated record. NCBI's taxonomy places the organism in Eukaryota, Metazoa, Chordata, Mammalia, Carnivora, Felidae.
CCAUUUUGGAAAAGAUAAUGGACUUUUAACAAAGGUCUUACCAGGUGCAAGAAGGAAAAUAACAGGUAGAUCACUAAGAGCCCAGUUGACAUUCAUGGUUUCCAGCUGAUCCAUCUUUAGGGUUGCAAAGGUUUUUUGUUUGGGGGAGGGGGGGGAGGUGCUUAUUCUUUAAGGUAUUGACUGAAAAUUCAAGAAUAUAAAUGUGCACCCCCAGAGUCAGAUUACAGGAAAAAAUACCUGUGAAAAGUUUUCUACUAAAAUAAACUUUUCUUUGCCAACAGAUGACAAGGGCAGAGGACACAGACUAUUUGAGAAAUAUGACGCUACGCCAGAAUUACAGCAGAUCAGAACCGCUGCAGUUAUCACACCGCUAUAAAAAUGUUAUGAAGAAUUGUAAUAAUUAUGAAUUGAACUAUAUACAGCAAAACAAAUCAGCCUUUGCCUUCCAAAAUUGUCAAUGGACUAUGGGUCUUUUUAAGAAGCACUUUAACCGUAAGUAAGCACGGCUGGACUGGCCUUACUCAUCACCACUGUUUCAGACAUACGCUUACUUUUGAAAAUAUAUAGAUAGCUAGAUAGAUUUGAUAGGCAGAUUAGAUAAGUCAUAGAUACAAACGUAUAUAUGUAUAUGGGUGAUCUCUCGAUAGAUUACACAGACAUGCAUCCUGCCACAAUGUUCAUUUUUAUGUAAGGUAAUAAAAAACUAAGGGACAUAAAACUCAUUAGGUUACCUUAUGUUUAUAUAUGGAGGGCAGGGAUGAUUAAAUCCAGCUUCUCAGUCUUUGAAAUACAAGAUUGAGAUGUCAUGGCCACUAACUGAACUGAUCAGUAAUAUUUGAUUUGCAUGCCGAAAAUCCAGGACACACACAUUUAAACUCGCAGUUAAACAACCAUCUGAGCUAGAGAUAAAGAAAGGAGGGUCUCCCCAGAUGGAAGCUGACACUAUAAGGAAUCUAUACUGCAAUAGAAAAAUAAUUUAACAAUUAAAAAAGGGAUCUGCGUGAGUUAUAAAUACCAACAAACAAGAUUUCAUUUGCUUACGUCUCCUCUUUGUAGAAGGAGGCUGUUACAAAACAAGAGAAAGGAGUCAGUGGUUCAAAAACUGUAAAUUGUGUUCUUCUUUCAAAACAAUAAAAUUUAAUGCUAAAGCAGUUAUAAUCAAAAGCUGUACAGCAUUUGUUAGAAAACAUUUUUCCAUAAAUAUUGUUCAGUUCCCGGCACUUGUAGCAAUAAUUAAAUUACAAACGAUAAAUAUGGCAUCAGUGGAUAUGUAUUUACAAAAAAAAAAAAGUUAUUACAAAAGGCAACUGCAUACUAAAC